Non-coding RNA from Candidatus Kaiserbacteria bacterium, 74 nucleotides. The record is from Rfam. Lineage: Bacteria; Candidatus Kaiseribacteriota.
GCGGGUGUAGCUCAGCUGGUUAGAGCGUCCGCCUGUCACGCGGAAGGUCGUGGGUUCGAACCCCAUCACUCGCG